AAAAAAGUAUAAUGAAUAACUAAAUACUAAACAAGAUAAAUAUAUAUAUUUUUUUAACGUUUUUUUUUGUGUUUAUUUACAUAUAAAGAAACAUGAAAGAAAAAUGAUUAGUGUUAAAGGUUAAUUUUUUUUUUUUUUUUUUUUUUUUUUUAUACAAUAAAUUGAAACUGUUACUAGUUCAGCAAGUUUUACAAUUUCCCAAGUCCGGCAAGUUUCACAAUUUCCCAAGCCUGUCAAGUUUUGCAAUUUCCUAAGUGUAGUAAGUUGCAUAAGUUUUUUUUUUUUAUUUUUUUUAUAAAAGAUAGGUGGAAUUAACCAAAUAAAUUUUUAUAUUUUUUAUUAUAAAAAAUAAAACAACAGUUGAUCAGUUUUCAAUUUUAAAUGAUGACUCACAAUAUUAUGUUUCGAUUGAAGGAACCUUUAUUUUACAAUGAGAGUUUUAUUAAUAGGUUUCUUUUCAAGUUUGGGUGUAGGCAGCAUAUAAAGAGCAAGGUUGUGUUUAAAAGAUAUUUUUUCUAUAGAUACGAUUAAAGUACCAAGAUUAGGUGACUCUAUUACAGAAGGAACCAUAGGUGAAUGGAAAAAAAAAAUUAGGUGAUUAUGUAUGGGCAGAUGAAACAAUAACAGUUAUUGACACUGAUAAAGUAAGUGUUGAUAUAAACUCUAAAUCGAGCGGUACGUUAAGUAAAUAUAUGCAGAAGAAGGAGAAGUUAUUUUUGUUGAUGCGCCAUUAUGUGAAAUUGAUACUUCGGCAGAACCACCUGUAGAAAGAAACGAAUCUACUGUUAAUGGUAGUACUACUGGUGCUAGUAUUAUCAAACCCGAAAACGAAGCAAUAUCAGAAGCAAGUGCAGAAAAAAAAGGAUCAAGUUACGAACAAAAAGAACAUGUAAAUAAUAAAGAAUAUAGAAAUGAGAUUAUAG
Molecule: long non-coding RNA, 923 nt
Filed under: Piliocolobus tephrosceles (Ugandan red Colobus)
Lineage: Eukaryota; Metazoa; Chordata; Mammalia; Primates; Cercopithecidae
Description: lncRNA (ENSPTEG00000009591.1)
Source: RNAcentral